GAUGAACGCUGGCGGCGUGCCUAAUACAUGCAAGUCGAGCGAACGGACGAGAAGCUUGCUUCUCUGAUGUUAGCGGCGGACGGGUGAGUAACACGUGGAUAACCUACCUAUAAGACUGGGAUAACUUCGGGAAACCGGAGCUAAUACCGGAUAAUAUUUUGAACCGCAUGGUUCAAUAGUGAAAGACGGUCUUGCUGUCACUUAUAGAUGGAUCCGCGCUGCAUUAGCUAGUUGGUAAGGUAACGGCUUACCAAGGCAACGAUGCAUAGCCGACCUGAGAGGGUGAUCGGACACACUGGAACUGAGACACGGUACAGAAUCCUACGGGAGGCAGCAGUAGGGAAUCUUCCGCAAUGGGCGAAAGCAUGACGGAGCAACGCCGCGUGAGUGAUGAAGGUCUUCGGAUCGUAAAACUCUGUUAUUAGGGAAGAAAAAAUGUGUAAGUAACUGUGCACAGCUUGACGGUAACUAAUCAGAAAGCCACGGCUAACUACGUG
RNAcentral lists this ribosomal RNA (497 nucleotides) under uncultured bacterium. Its description in RNAcentral is "partial 16S ribosomal RNA". It matches the Rfam family "Bacterial small subunit ribosomal RNA", at positions 28 to 507 of the family's 1533-position model. The record is from RNAcentral.